Molecule: RNA transcript, 974 nt
Organism: Pogoniulus pusillus (Red-fronted tinkerbird)
Lineage: Eukaryota; Metazoa; Chordata; Aves; Piciformes; Lybiidae
Gene: RBIS
Gene name: ribosomal biogenesis factor
Exons: 5
Source: RefSeq, a predicted model, not a curated record
GUAUGACGCCAUCGGCAGGGGCCGCACAGUGUGGCCGCCAUGGGGAAGAGCCGUUCGCGGGCGGCCAAGGCGGCCUGCGUCUUCCGUAUCGCCCGGAGCGGUGCCGCCAAGGCCAAGACCAAGGGCAAGGCGCGGCCCGUCACCUCUGGGCUGAAGCAGAUAAACAUUAGAAACGCUGAGAAAGUUAGCACAAUAAAUAAAGCAUUUGCCGAAGUUCAGAAGGAAGUACAACACCUAUCGAAGAGCACUGCAGCAGAGCCCCAGAAGAGUCAGAAGGCUUCCACAAAUCUGGAAGAUGAACCAGCAAACGUAGAUGCUGCCACAAGCCUGCUAUCUCAGCUGUAAUGCACAACGGACCGUGGAGAGUUUAGAAUUUGCUGGAGUGACAGCUGUGGAAUAGAAACUGAAUCUGUCCUUCCAUAGCAAAGGAGCUCCUGAAACUUCCAUGAGAAAGACAUGUUACUCUCUUCUCCCACCCAUCUGGAGCAGGAAAAACCCUGGACCCACCUGAUGGUGUGUCUGCAUCUGAUGUUUGUGGUAACUCUUGUCCUUGGUUCAGAUCAUGUGUUUCUGGUGGACUCUGCGGAGCUGGUGCAGGUUUAAGGGGAGUUGCUGCAGCUGCAGGUUGAGAUGAGGGCUGUGCAAGGUCAUCAGGUGGAGGAACUGGAAACACCAUGGGCUUGGAGGAGCUUGAUUCCUUAUUUAUAAGCAGCACAUGGAUAGGUCCUGAACUACUUUUAAGAUUGAUUUGGUAUUUCUUCUGUCCAUUCUGCCCCUGUAAAGGUGGUAUACCGUCAAGGUUACCAUUCCCUGUGGACUUCACAAAAUGCAACAGGAAUGCACAGAGUUAUUUCCAAAAGAAAGCAACAAAGAUGUUUGAAAACUGGUUCUCAAACUGAGACAGAAGGUACAGUGCCCUUCUAGUCAGAGCACUGGAAGAGCUUACACCAAAUAAACAAAAGCUUUAAAACUAA